AUUGAACGCUGGCGGCAGGCUUAACACAUGCAAGUCGAGCGAGUGGCGGACGGGUGAGUAAUGUCUGGGAAACUGCCUGAUGUAGGGGGAUAACUACUGGAAACGGUAGCUAAUACCGCAUACCCUCAGAUGUGCCCAGAUGGGAUUAGCUAGUAGGUGGGGUAACGGCUCACCUAGGCGACGAUCCCUAGCUGGUCUUAGAGGAUGACAAGCCACACUGGAACUGAGCCACGGUCCAGAUGCCUACGGGAGGCAGCAGGGGGGAAUAUUGCACAAUGGGCGCAAGCCUGAUGCAGCCAUGCCGCGUGUAUGAAGAAGGCCUUCGGGUUGUAAAGCACUUGCAGCGGGGAGGCGUUACUCGCAGAAGAAGCACCGGCUAACUCCGUGCCAGCAGCCGCGGUAAUUC
Molecule: ribosomal RNA, 406 nt
Filed under: uncultured bacterium
Lineage: Bacteria
Description: partial 16S ribosomal RNA
Rfam family: Bacterial small subunit ribosomal RNA
Source: RNAcentral